This 178-nucleotide unclassified non-coding RNA is filed under the name plant metagenome. RNAcentral's name for it is "partial contains small subunit ribosomal RNA and internal transcribed spacer 1". The stretch from base 1 to 46 matches the Rfam family "Eukaryotic small subunit ribosomal RNA", at positions 1786 to 1831 of the family's 1831-position model. The record is from RNAcentral.
AAGUCGUAACAAGGUUUCCGUAGGUGAACCUGCGGAAGGAUCAUUAGUGAAUUCGGUUACUCGCAAGAGAACCAACCCACUUUCCAACUCUGUGAACUAUUGGGAAUAUUGCGCUUGCGCUUAUUCCGGCUCAUUUAAACAUCAGUCAAUGUAUGUAACUAAAAUAUAAUAAGAAAAA